AGUUUGAGUGCUCUACAAGGUGUCGCUUGAAUGCUUGCAUUUUUAGACAGAGAUGAGAUCAGCUAAGUUACUGUUAAUAUCAGAAAUAUAAUGCUGUCCUUUGAGAUUUUAACAUAAGACUGUGAGUGUAAUGGAUCUAAAACUGUUUAAAUCUUCAGAGCCCUCUACAGCCUGGUAACAUGGAAACUUUAAAAACAGCAGCAGAAGGUUUCAGUAGUGUACUGUAAUUUGUUCUUUUCAUUUAAUAAUAGAGUCCAUAUUAUAUCCUAAGUAGUGAUGUGUCGGUCGCGAACGAAACAGCUUUUAGAGCCGGAUCUUUGAUGUGACCGACGUCAGCCAGCUCCUUAUCGCGAGCCGUGGUUUUUUUUUUUCUUUCUCUCACCCUCUCUGUCGCUCUUUUUUCCCGCUUCACUCCGCACGCGAGCCUUGUGCUUUGCGCUCGGCAGAGGGGGGAGGGGCGGUAGUUACACUCGCAGUAGCAGAGGAACAAGGCGGGAGGGAAAGAGAGAGCCAGGGACAACAGCGUCACAUUAGAAAGCUGUCCUCUGUCAGAUGUUCUGUUGACCCACUGAGAGAGGCAUCAUUUCAGAAACAUCAGACAGACUGAAGCUCAUGGUCAAGGAGGACCUAAUGAUCUUCACCAGCAGCUCCCUCACAGGAAAUCUUCAGCAGCUCCUGUAAUCACAAAGAGAACAGAACCAUCACAAACUCAAAUAUACAUUUUAUCCCUCAAAAUUGAAAUAAAGCUGAUCCUUCUCUGUCCUCACACACUCAGGAUCUGAAGCUCUUCUCUUACAUUUUUUCAGUUCUACAGUUUAAUCCAUAGUUACUGAUUAAUUAGGAGUUACUGAAGUACAAGCUUUUUUUUUCUUUUUUUAAAAAUGGCGUUACUGUCUUUAUAGAUGUGGUAAGAGACUGAAAAAAUGCUGCUGUUUGCACAUAUACAUGCACAUAAUCAGCUCUGUACAGGAGCUGAAGCAGAGUACAGCCUGUUGCUUUUACAGUAUAAUACUUGUACUAAAGUUACAGUAAUGGUAAUUAGCUAGUGACUGAGCAGCCCGGGGCAUUUCUCUUGAUUUCUUUAGUCAGGGUAAAUCCAUUCACCUGCACGGAUUAGCUAAACGAACUUUACAAAACAAGUUUCCCUGACAGCCGAGUGCUCAUCUUAGCUAGCUAGGUCUCAGGACCCAGCUAAGGAUGUCAGUUAUGGAUUAGCUUACCUAUUCUUAUAUUUUGCUUGUUCUUAUGUUAUUGUAUUUUUGCACACC
Molecule: long non-coding RNA, 1268 nt
Organism: Oreochromis aureus
Lineage: Eukaryota; Metazoa; Chordata; Actinopteri; Cichliformes; Cichlidae
Source: Ensembl